RNAcentral lists this ribosomal RNA (496 nucleotides) under uncultured bacterium. RNAcentral's name for it is "partial 16S ribosomal RNA". It matches the Rfam family "Bacterial small subunit ribosomal RNA", at positions 29 to 507 of the family's 1533-position model. The record is from RNAcentral.
AUGAACGCUGGCGGCGUGCCUAAUACAUGCAAGUCGAGCGAACAGACGAGGAGCUUGCUCCUCUGACGUUAGCGGCGGACGGGUGAGUAACACGUGGAUAACCUACCUAUAAGACUGGGAUAACUUCGGGAAACCGGAGCUAAUACCGGAUAAUAUAUUGAACCGCAUGGUUCAAUAGUGAAAGACGGUUUUGCUGUCACUUAUAGAUGGAUCCGCGCCGCAUUAGCUAGUUGGUAAGGUAACGGCUUACCAAGGCAACGAUGCGUAGCCGACCUGAGAGGGUGAUCGGCCACACUGGAACUGAGACACGGUCCAUACUCCUACGAGAGGCACCAGUAGGGAAUCUUCCGCAAUGGGCGAAAGCCUGACGGAGCAACGCCGCGUGAGUGAUGAAGGUCUUCGGAUCGUAAAACUCUGUUAUUAGGGAAGAACAAAUGUGUAAGUAACUAUGCACGUCUUGACGGUACCUAAUCAGAAAGCCACGGCUAACUACGUG